CAAAAGUUUAUCUCAAUACUUUGUUAUAUACCCUUUGUUGGCAAUGACAGAGGUCAAACGUUUUCUGUAAGUCUUCACAAGGUUUUCACACACUGUUGCUGGUAUUUUGGCCCAUUCCUCCAUGCAGAUCUCCUCUAGAGCAGUGAUGUUUUGGGGCUGUUGCUGGGCAACACGGACUUUCAACUCCCUCCAAAGAUUUUCUAUGGGGUUGAGAUCUGGAGACUGGCUAGGCCACUCCAGGACCUUGACAUGCUUCUUACGAAGCCACUCCUUCGUUGCCCGGGCGGUCUGUCAUAGUUGAAGUGUACCUAUGAUGAAAAUUACAGGCCUCUCUCAUCAUUUAUGUGGGAGAACUUGCACAAUUGGUGGCUGAGUAAAUACUUUUUUGCCCCACUGUAUGUCUCUAUGUUUUAUUCUUAGGGGAUUGUUUUACUUCAUGCAGGUCCUUGAGGGAGAUGGAGGGAUAAAUAACUUUGUGUGGUGAUAUGUUACAGGUCCUUGAGGGAGAUGGAGGGAUAAAUAACUUUGUGUGGUGAUAUGUUACAGGUCCUUGAAGGAGAUGGAGGGAUAAAUAACUUUGUGUGGUGAUAUGUUACAGGUCCUUGAGGGAGAUGGAGGGAUAAAUAACUUUGUGUGGUGAUAUGUUACAGGUCCUUGAGGGAGAUGUAGGGAUAAAUAACUUUGUGUGGUGAUAUGUUACAGGUCCUUGAAGGAGAUGGAGGGAUAAAUAACUUUGUG
Oncorhynchus tshawytscha (Chinook salmon) is the source of this 738-nucleotide long non-coding RNA. The record is from Ensembl. Lineage: Eukaryota; Metazoa; Chordata; Actinopteri; Salmoniformes; Salmonidae.